UGGGGAAUUUUGGACAAUGGGGGAAACCCUGAUCCAGCCAUCCCGCGUGUGCGAUGAAGGCCUUCGGGUUGUAAAGCACUUUUGGCAGGAAAGAAACGUCAUGGGUUAAUACCCCGUGAAACUGACGGUACCUGCAGAAUAAGCACCGGCUAGCUACGUGCCAGCAGCCGCGGUAAUACGUAGGGUGCAAGCGUUAAUCGGAAUUACUGGGCGUAAAGCGUGCGCAGGCGGUUCGGAAAGAAAGAUGUGAAAUCCCAGAGCUCAACUUUGGAACUGCAUUUUUAACUACCGGGCUAGAGUGUGUCAGAGGGAGGUGGAAUUCCGCGUGUAGCAGUGAAAUGCGUAGAUAUGCGGAGGAACACCGAUGGCGAAGGCAGCCUCCUGGGAUAACACUGACGCUCAUGCACGAAAGCGUGGGGAGCAAACAGG
This 429-nucleotide ribosomal RNA is filed under the name Acidobacteriota bacterium. Its description in RNAcentral is "Acidobacteria bacterium partial 16S ribosomal RNA". It matches the Rfam family "Bacterial small subunit ribosomal RNA", at positions 355 to 776 of the family's 1533-position model. Lineage: Bacteria; Pseudomonadati; Acidobacteriota. The record is from RNAcentral.